GGGUGAACUUUCCCCUGCGAGAUUCUGGUGAAAGGGGAAAUGUGCUUCGAGUCAGUAAAGCUGCGCAAGUGCACAGUCAAGGAGAGAGUCUUGGGAAAACCAAGGAUAGUUCCCGGAGAUGACUUUUGGACUGCGGAAACGUUUGUCAGAGGAAAGAGGCUUCAGUUUAAUGUGAGAUCAUUGGAAGUUGAACUAUUCAGGCGGCGAGCAGAGCCCCUUCCUCCAUCUUCCCACUGUAUGGUCUUGUCCCUUAGCCUAUAAUUUCUUAUAAAGAGCGUUUUGAAGACUAGGUUUUUACUGGCAGCGCCCUGAUUCAGCCUCACAGUAUAAAGAGAGAAGUCAGAGAAUCCUAGAAAUUUAUUGCUUGAAGAAGGGGUUGGUGUCCUCAUAUCUCACCUUCCUCAGGCUGGGCUUCAUCACCAGGCCUCCUCACAGAUUCCUGUCCGUUCUGUGUCCUGGACUCCGGAUACCUCAACUCUCAGUACUUUGUGCUCAGCCCAGGCCCAGAGCCAUGGCUAUCUCCUCUUCCUCCUGCGAACUGCCCCUGGUGGCUGUGUGCCAGGUAACAUCGACGCCAGACAAGCAACAGAACUUUAAAACAUGUGCUGAGCUGGUUCGAGAGGCUGCCAGACUGGGUGCCUGCCUGGCUUUCCUGCCUGAGGCAUUUGACUUCAUUGCACGGGACCCUGCAGAGACGCUACACCUGUCUGAACCACUGGGUGGGAAACUUUUGGAAGAAUACACCCAGCUUGCCAGGUAUCAGGGAAAGAGCGAGGGAGAGGUAGAAUCUUUGUUGGACAGUGUCCCUGGGUUGCCAGAUAUGAGGGUAGAGCCUUGAGAAGUCAGUGAAGAGUUGUCAGUGUCCCUUCCCCCCAGGGAAUGUGGACUCUGGCUGUCCUUGGGUGGUUUCCAUGAGCGUGGCCAAGACUGGGAGCAGACUCAGAAAAUCUACAAUUGUCACGUGCUGCUGAACAGCAACGGGGCAGUAGUGGCCACUUACAGGAAGACACAUCUGUGUGACGUAGAGAUUCCAGGGCAGGGGCCUAUGUGUGAAAGCAACUCUACCAUGCCUGGGCCC
Molecule: small RNA, 1078 nt
Filed under: Pan troglodytes (chimpanzee)
Lineage: Eukaryota; Metazoa; Chordata; Mammalia; Primates; Hominidae
Description: processed transcript
Source: RNAcentral